UCCCUGGUGGUCCAGCGGUUAGGACUUGCAGCUUUCACUAUAGGGGCCCAGGUUCAAUCUCUGGUCAGGGAA
Molecule: non-coding RNA, 72 nt
Organism: Bos taurus (domestic cattle)
Lineage: Eukaryota; Metazoa; Chordata; Mammalia; Artiodactyla; Bovidae
Source: Rfam